GAGGGUAUAGCUCAGUGGUAGAGUGUGUGCUUAGCAUGCACAAGGUCCUGGGUUCAAAACCCAGUACCUCCG
RNAcentral lists this transfer RNA (72 nucleotides) under Camelus bactrianus (Bactrian camel). It matches the Rfam family "tRNA". From Rfam's summary of the family: Transfer RNA (tRNA) molecules are approximately 80 nucleotides in length. Lineage: Eukaryota; Metazoa; Chordata; Mammalia; Artiodactyla; Camelidae. The record is from Rfam by way of RNAcentral. RNAcentral also lists the same sequence under 2 other names.